Molecule: ribosomal RNA, 497 nt
Filed under: uncultured bacterium
Lineage: Bacteria
Description: bacterial SSU rRNA
Rfam family: Bacterial small subunit ribosomal RNA
Source: RNAcentral
GAUGAACGCUAGCGAUAGGCCUAACACAUGCAAGUCGAGGGGCAUCACAUGAAGUAGCAAUACGGAUGGUGGCGACCGGCGCACGGGUGAGUAACACGUAUGCAACCUGCCUUCAACAAGGGGAUAACCCGUUGAAAGACGGACUAAUACCCUAUAACACAGGGGUCCCGCAUGGGAAUAUUUGUUAAAGGACAACCGGUUGAAGAUGGGCAUGCGUUCCAUUAGCUAGUUGGCGGGGUAAGGGCCCACCAAGGCAACGAUGGAUAGGGGAACUGAGAGGUUUAUCCCCCACACUGGUACUGAGACACGGACCAGACUCCUACGGGAGGCAGCAGUGAGGAAUAUUGGUCAAUGGACGCAAGUCUGAACCAGCCACGUCGCGUGAAGGAAGACGGCCCUACGGGUUGUAAACUUCUUUUGCAAGGGAAUAAAGUGGGCCACGUGUGGCCUUUUGCAAGUACCUUGCGAAUAAGGAUCGGCUAACUCCGUGCCAGCAG